Sinocyclocheilus rhinocerous is the source of this 386-nucleotide long non-coding RNA. RefSeq lists it as uncharacterized. The record is from RefSeq and is a predicted model, not a curated record. The transcript has 3 exons. Lineage: Eukaryota; Metazoa; Chordata; Actinopteri; Cypriniformes; Cyprinidae.
AAUUUCAUCUUUUAUGUUCCACAGAAGAAAGCCAGUCAUACCAGUUUGGAACGCCCUUAGAUCAAUAGGUUGCGAAAUCAAACCAGAAUCUGGAGACUCUGCGUCAGCAGCUGAGAAGAAAACCCUGCUAUUUCCACUUUGAUAAGCAUCAUCUGCUCUUCCAUGUCUCCAGCACCAGUCCCAGUAUGAGGCUUCAGGGCUGCUGAAUUCUGCCACACUAGAUUGCUCUCACCAUGGCUUGGCAGCUGAAAUCUUCAUGUAGUCACAACAUACUCUAUUCUGCUUGGAUGAACUUUGUAUUUUGAAAAUACUUUUUUUUUCUUUCUAUUUAGAGAUGAAUAAUCGCUUUUGCGAAACCAUGCAUAUAUCCUAUUUUAACCAAUAUA